CCCUUAGAUGUUCUGGGCCGCACGCGCGCUACACUGAUGCAUUCAACAAGCCUAGCCUUGACCGAGAGGUCCGGGUAAUCUUUGAAACUGCAUCGUGAUGGGGCUAGAUUAUUGCGAUUAUUAAUCUUCAACGAGGAAUGCCUAGUAAGCGUGAUUCAUCAAAUCGCGUUGAUUACGUCCCUGCCCUUUGUACACACCGCCCGUCGCUCCUACCGAUUGAAUGUGUUGGUGAGGAGCUCGGAUUGGCAGCAGUUGGUGGUUCGCCACCGGCUAUUGCUGAGAAGUCCUCCAAACCGCCCCAUUUAGAGGAAGGAGAAGUCGUAACA
Molecule: ribosomal RNA, 326 nt
Filed under: uncultured eukaryote
Lineage: Eukaryota
Description: partial 18S ribosomal RNA
Rfam family: Eukaryotic small subunit ribosomal RNA
Source: RNAcentral